Molecule: long non-coding RNA, 78 nt
Filed under: Fukomys damarensis (Damara mole-rat)
Lineage: Eukaryota; Metazoa; Chordata; Mammalia; Rodentia; Bathyergidae
Description: lncRNA (ENSFDAG00000027740.1)
Source: RNAcentral
AAGACAGAAAAUUGUUUCUUACCAUCUUAAUUAUGCUUUUAUUUAAAAAGCAAAGCAACAUUUUUGGCCAGCUUCCAC